Molecule: ribosomal RNA, 314 nt
Filed under: uncultured soil bacterium
Lineage: Bacteria
Description: bacterial SSU rRNA
Rfam family: Bacterial small subunit ribosomal RNA
Source: RNAcentral
AGAUUGAACGCUGGCGGCAGGCCUAACACAUGCAAGUCGAGCGGUAGAGAGGUGCUUGCACCUCUUGAGAGCGGCGGACGGGUGAGUAAUGCCUAGGAAUCUGCCUAGUGGUGGGGGAUAACGUUCGGAAACGGACGCUAAUACCGCAUACGUCCUACGGGAGAAAGCGGGGGACCUUCGGGCCUCGCGCCAUUAGAUGAGCCUAGGUCGGAUUAGCUAGUUGGUGAGGUAAUGGCUCACCAAGGCGACGAUCCGUAACUGGUCUGAGAGGAUGAUCAGUCACACUGGAACUGAGACACGGUCCAAGACUCCUA